UUCACAAGCCGGGAAGAGAUACCAGACUUUGACUAAUUCCCCAAUUGAUUUCAAAAGUCCAUUGAAUUAAACUUCUUAAAGUAACAACUAUAAAGUAAACAGUAACUUAAUUAUUCAUAUUUUUCAUCCCUGAACUCACAACCUAGUCGCUCCCCCCCUACUAAAAACAAAAUUAUAACUUAAUAAAUUUCCCCAUUGGAAACCUUUAUCCUUAGUUUCCCGCCGAUCUCCUCACAAGCAAAGCCAGUCUCUCUCGGAUUCUCCUCAGGUGAGCAUGCGGUCUGAUAAUCUCCCCCUCCAUUCCUGUAAUAUUAAGUGGUGAGCUACAGCUACCUGGCUGCACCUCAAGGCCAUAGCCACUUCAAAGAUGUGGUGUAUGGGUCUGGUGCAGCAGCCAAGCCUCCUUCCUCUGACCACAGCUUCUCUGCCAGAUCUCCAACUCUUGGCCAGACACUUUCACUGGAAACUCAGAAAUCUGGUCAUACAGCAGCUCCUGGCCAUGCCUCAGACCAUACUCACCUCAGCACUACACCACCUGUUAUUACUGCCUUCGAGUCCUCAAAAUUAUCUCACAUUUCCCCUUCCUCAUUAGUCCAUUCCUCAUCAUUCUCUGCACCAUCACCUUUUUUCUCCUCAUCCUUCUCACCUUCUGCUCACUCAUCAUCUCUCCCACAACCAUCACUCCCUCCUGCCUCUCCAUUUACUCAUCCUGAAGCCAUAUUUGCCAUGCACCAAACUUCUGCCACAGUUCACCCUGCUGAUCCCAGCCAAUUUAUCAUCAAGGACUCCACUUUCCAGGAGGCUCUGGAAUGUAACUCCCACAGAUGGCAGGGAAACACUGCAUAUCUUCCCUCCCACAACAGCGAUGCACUUAAUGAAUUGGGCCAAGAUAAUUAGUGAAAGCUUUCUGUGUUAAAGAGAUGCAGCUAGUGAGCCAAUAUAUAUAUUAAUAUAUAUUAAUCCUUUAUGUCAUAAAACUUCUCUGAAAAAAUCUAGUGAAUAAUUUUUCCUCAAUCACUGCACUGUCCUUGAUCUAAAUUACAUAUUAAAACUACACAUGAUAGUGUAAUGAUCAGUAUGCUUGGCUCACAAACCACAUAUAUAUAUAUGCUUGGCUUUGUCUCCAAACUCUCCCCCAUAGAGAGAUUGUAUUAACCUGCAGAAAUAAAGCUAUCAUUCAGGGAAA
Molecule: long non-coding RNA, 1186 nt
Organism: Scylla paramamosain (green mud crab)
Lineage: Eukaryota; Metazoa; Arthropoda; Malacostraca; Decapoda; Portunidae
Exons: 3
Source: RefSeq, a predicted model, not a curated record